This 658-nucleotide ribosomal RNA is filed under the name uncultured bacterium. RNAcentral's name for it is "bacterial SSU rRNA". It matches the Rfam family "Bacterial small subunit ribosomal RNA", at positions 53 to 717 of the family's 1533-position model. The record is from RNAcentral.
GCAUGCAAGUCGAGCGACGCAUACCGGAGGGGUAACCCACUGGUAUGACGGAGCGGCGAACGGGUGAGUAACACGUGAGUAACCUGCCCCACAGACCGGGACAGCCCAGGGAAACCUGGAUUAAUACCGGAUACCCUCGGGGGAUCGCAUGAUCUUUCGAGGAAAUGCCUUUGUGCUGUGGGAUGGACUCGCGACUUAUCAGCUAGUUGGUGGGGUAACGGCCUACCAAGGCGUCGACGAGUAGCUGGUCUGAGAGGACGAUCAGCCACACUGGGACUGAGACACGGCCCAGACUCCUACGGGAGGCAGCAGCAGGGAAUCUUGCGCAAUGGGCGAAAGCCUGACGCAGCAACGCCGCGUGGGGGAUGAAGGCCUUCGGGUUGUAAACCCCUUUCAGGAGGGAAGAAAUUGACGGUACCUCCAAAAGAAGCACCGGCCAACUACGUGCCAGCAGCCGCGGUAAUACGUAGGGUGCGAGCGUUAUCCGGAAUCAUUGGGCGUAAAGAGCUCGUAGGCGGUUCAGCAAGUCGGCUGUGAAAUUUCGAGGCUCAACCUCGAAACUGCAGUCGAAACUGCUGUGACUCGAGUCCGGUAGAGGAGAAUGGAAUUCCCGGUGUAGCGGUGAAAUGCGCAGAUAUCGGGAGGAACACCAGUAGCG